GUAUGAGUUGUUUACAUAUUGAGUUACUUUGUGUGUGGCCUUUAUCAUGUUGGGUUACUUUCCAAUGUGUACUUCUGGGCCUUCUCUCACAUUGUUGUCUUACCUUAAUGCACUUUCUCACAAAUUAGAUGAAAGUUCUGGUUACGGUAAAAGGAGGAAAGUAAAUAAUACUUUGCUGUCUCGGUUGCCAUUAAUUGGUGAAGCUCUUAAUUGGUAGGUUUAUUGAACAGUGGGACAAUUUUUUCACCGUUAGAUCUAUGUAUUUUAAAACGAAUCCAAUGGGUUGGGACGAAAGUUAGUACGAUGAACCCAUACCAAAAGCGUGUAUGCAUUAAUUGCUCGUCUUCUACGCUU
Molecule: long non-coding RNA, 354 nt
Filed under: Brassica napus (rape)
Lineage: Eukaryota; Viridiplantae; Streptophyta; Magnoliopsida; Brassicales; Brassicaceae
Description: long non-coding RNA (BNAP_LNC004235)
Source: RNAcentral